RNAcentral lists this ribosomal RNA (554 nucleotides) under uncultured bacterium. Its description in RNAcentral is "partial 16S ribosomal RNA". It matches the Rfam family "Bacterial small subunit ribosomal RNA", at positions 355 to 914 of the family's 1533-position model. The record is from RNAcentral.
UGGGGAAUAUUGCACAAUGGGCGAAAGCCUGAUGCAGCGACGCCGCGUGCGGGAUGAAGGCCUUCGGGUUGUAAACCGCUUUUGAUUGGGAGCAAGCGAGAGUGAGUGUACCUUUCGAAUAAGCACCGGCUAACUACGUGCCAGCAGCCGCGGUAAUACGUAGGGUGCAAGCGUUAUCCGGAAUUAUUGGGCGUAAAGAGCUCGUAGGCGGUUUGUCGCGUCUGGUGUGAAAGUCCAUCGCUUAACGGUGGAUCUGCGCCGGGUACGGGCAGGCUAGAGUGCGACAGGGGAGACUGGAAUUCCCGGUGUAACGGUGGAAUGUGUAGAUAUCGGGAAGAACACCAAUGGCGAAGGCAGGUCUCUGGGUCGUCACUGACGCUGAGGAGCGAAAAGCGUGGGGAGCGAAACAGGAUUAGAUACCCUGGUAGUCCACGCCGUAAACGGUGGAUGCUGGAUGUGGGGCCCAUUCCACGGGUUCCGUGUCGGAGCUAACGCGUUAAGCAUCCCGCCUGGGGAGUACGGCCGCAAGGCUAAAAACUCUAAAGUGAAUUGAC